This 207-nucleotide ribosomal RNA is filed under the name Staphylococcus haemolyticus. Its description in RNAcentral is "partial 16S ribosomal RNA". It matches the Rfam family "Bacterial small subunit ribosomal RNA", at positions 925 to 1129 of the family's 1533-position model. The record is from RNAcentral. Lineage: Bacteria; Bacillati; Bacillota; Bacilli; Caryophanales; Staphylococcaceae.
ACAAGCGGUGGAGCAUGUGGUUUAAUUCGAAGCAACGCGAAGAACCUUACCAAAUCUUGACAUCCUUUGACAACUCUAGAGAUAGAGCUUUCCCCUUCGGGGGACAAAGUGACAGGUGGUGCAUGGUUGUCGUCAGCUCGUGUCGUGAGAUGUUGGGUUAAGUCCCGCAACGAGCGCAACCCUUAAGCUUAGUUGCCAUCAUUAAGU